AUUUACAUAUCUUCUAGCCCGGCUUCCGUUCUUUUUUCCAGGGUAAUACUUAUUUUCAGUUAUUGCUUUCCUACGUCAAGUCUUCACGAUUCGCUCCAUGCUCCAUUCGCUCCAUAUUAAAUUUAUUCCACGGUUCAUUAAACGUAUCGUCACGUCUUAAUCUUUGAUGUUCACUAGUUUUUUCCUUAUUAAUAAAAAGAUACUUUUAUGGCACAGCUUAAAACACGAUCUAUAUUUACGUUUGUGUUUGUCUAUAUAUUAAGUGAUUCACCCACAUUAAAGUCGCGUCGUUGCAAUGUUAACUACGAUAUAUGAAUUCCAAAAAUGUUCUGCCCAAUUCCUAUUAUUACGAUUUUUCCAUUUUUCUGUUUUUACCUUGUCUAAUUCUUAUUGAUAUACGGCUGAAAGGUCAUCGGUGUAUUAUUUUCUACCUUAGUGUACUUACCUUAUUAAUACAUAUGUAAUAUUUUUCUCGAAUAUAUUAAAACGACCAUGUUCCACUGUAGUAUCUUCAGGAACGACCACAAUUCAGAACGCUGGUCUGACUUAAAUUAAUCAAUUUAUAUUUCACCCCCCACCCCUCUGUUUUAUCAGACGAUUUUUAUGAACUGACCCUCACUUAAGAGAAAACUUUAAUUAUCCUCCUUUUGGUCUCUGUAGGUAUUUAUUAAUGACGAUCGAAGUCCAUCGCUUGAUAUCAAGAUAUCUCCAUUAUGUACAUUUCAUCAUUUUCUUAACAAUCGUCG
This is a non-coding RNA of Cinara cedri, 746 nucleotides long. Lineage: Eukaryota; Metazoa; Arthropoda; Insecta; Hemiptera; Aphididae. The record is from the annotation of a GenBank genome assembly.